CGCUCACAUCACACUGAAACACCACUUCCCGUACGAUCACCAAAGUCAAGCAACGUCGAGCCUGCUCAGUAUCUACAUGGGUGACCGCUUCGGAAUAACAGGUGCUGUAAU
Acanthosepion pharaonis is the source of this 111-nucleotide non-coding RNA. NCBI's taxonomy places the organism in Eukaryota, Metazoa, Mollusca, Cephalopoda, Sepiida, Sepiidae. The record is from the annotation of a GenBank genome assembly.